RNAcentral lists this long non-coding RNA (555 nucleotides) under Citrus maxima (pomelo). RNAcentral's name for it is "long non-coding RNA (CMAX_LNC003567)". Lineage: Eukaryota; Viridiplantae; Streptophyta; Magnoliopsida; Sapindales; Rutaceae. The record is from RNAcentral.
AACUGCACAUACGUGGAGAGCAGAUAAUUGAAAUGACACAAUCAUUUGCAGAAUUCAUUUUCACAAGAGUGCAAUACGUCAAGAAGAAAUUAAACUUACACUUCAGGUCAAUAACUAAACCGUAAGUAUUACCACCUCAGAUGAUUUUUAUUUUGUUUAUUUUUAAAGUAUUUUGAUUUGAUAUUCUAAACUUGGUUCUUGCCAAACACUGAAGAGAGUUUUGCAAUUCUCCAAAGUGAGAGGGAAGGGAGGAAGAAAACAAAGAAACCUGAAUGAUUCUGGUCAUUUUGCAGAUGCUUCCAAGCCAGAGAAUUGGCCGAGGAGAGGGAAAACAAAGAUAGUUAUCACGGUAGCUUAUGGCACAGAAUCCCAAAAAAACAAUUCUUUGGCAGUACAUGCAAUAAAUUGGUUCCAGAUUAUAACAGCUUAUUUCUUGAUGCCAUCUAAGUACUUUUUUUUUUCUCUUUUUUCCCUACCAUACCAUUAGUCUGUUAAAUACACUGAGUCUCAUUUUAUAAUGAUAAUUAAAAAAAACAACAGCCUCUAGAAUUACCU